CGAGCUGUGAUGCAAAGGGGGUUUUGGUGCUCAGCGUCUCUGCUUCCCCGCCGGGCUUCCUAGAGCUCGGGAGCUUUCUCAUCCAUGGAUUGAGAUCUGAUCCUCUGACCCCUGGAGUCACUCACCGUCAGGGAGCGUCGCUUCGGACUGGCGCUCGACUGGCAGCGUGUGCCUAAGUAUAAUAUAUCCACAUUGACAUAAGUCUCAAAAAAGCCCUUCAGGCCACUCCAAACACACCUGGUAAAAUCAAGAAUUGGAAGAUUGACUGGGACCUUGCUACUCAAAGUGGAGUUCAGGGACCGCCAGCAUCGGUAGCCCCUGAGAGCCUGUUAGAAAUGCAACAUCUUAGGCUCACUGCUGACCUCCUGAGUCUGAACCUGCAUUUUAACAAGAUGCCUGGUGACUGAUAUGCUCAUGAGAGUUUGAGAAACAUGUGGCUAAAACACAUCCCAAUGUCUUAGGAUUUGCAGAUCUGGAACCCGCUUCCACGCUCUGGCUGGAACUAUGAGUAGAAGUCUGAACACUUCUGCCCACUGCGUCUUGGUGUGGGAGUUGCCAAGGAAAACAAAAUACAGUCAAAGCACCGGAUGGAACAACGCUUUACUCACAUGAAGGAGACAGAGCAAGAUGGGCUUCAGUAGAGGGCGUCGGUCUCCCAUGGCCAGUGGUUGCCCCCUGGCAGCAUAUGCAGGGCAGUUGGCUCUCAUGCCCCGCUCCUGAGCUGUGUACCAGAAGGACCCCAUCCCCUUCCCAUACGGGACAGUAGAGCAGUGGGGUUGGCCAAGUGCCGUAUGACACACAUGCUGAAGCAGAACAAAGGAGUACAUAUUGAGUCUGAAACAGAGAAAGAUGUUCCCACACAGGGUGACAAAGGCAGCACAGGCUGUAAGGACUCUACCUCUUUGGAAGGCAGUGUUCCAGGCUUACUGGGGCCGAGCGGGGGUUGAGAAACUGCACACAAGAGACCCCUUUCCCAACAGUUUUAAUUUUAGUAUCCCUCCACCUUAGAUUAAGUUUGUAUAAAGCUAUUUCAUGUAACAGUAACCUAAAUGGAGAAGGUUCACAAACUGAGAUCAAUCCCAUUUUCCGUCAUUACAUUGGCCUGGGGAUACUAUUCCUGUUUCUCUUGAAUGCUGACCCAAGAACCACAGCCUUUGAAGAUACUUUUUAGGAGAUCAGAAAGUGCCAUUAAUAACUGCCUGAGUACCUACUGUGAGCCUUAUGGUGGCACUCACAAGUGAAUUACAUCGUACACAUCAUUCCUAGAUCAACUGUUAGGUUUUGUUUCUGAUCUUUGUUCCACUGAGUGGCUGAGCUAGAAGAGUACAUGCUGUUCCUUGGCAUCAUGAAAUAUUUUUAUAGAAUUUCCAGUGAACAGGAUCCCAGGGCUCCUGGGCUGUUGCUAAUGAACUGGACCCAUGAUGGCCUAACCAUGUAACCACGGUGGUACUGAAUGGCUACACCCUUAGUACACGUGGUCAGGAAAAAUAAAAACAAACUGACAAUUUGUGAUGCUUACAUUUAGAUGUAACAAAUCUUGUCAGAUUGCUCUUCCUUUUCACACUCUAUAGGGACU
Long non-coding RNA from Balaenoptera ricei (Rice's whale), 1576 nucleotides. RefSeq lists it as uncharacterized. The record is from RefSeq and is a predicted model, not a curated record. The transcript has 4 exons. NCBI's taxonomy places the organism in Eukaryota, Metazoa, Chordata, Mammalia, Artiodactyla, Balaenopteridae.